This 672-nucleotide long non-coding RNA is filed under the name Lathyrus oleraceus (garden pea). Its description in RNAcentral is "Pisum sativum (pea) long non-coding RNA (PSAT_LNC009860)". Lineage: Eukaryota; Viridiplantae; Streptophyta; Magnoliopsida; Fabales; Fabaceae. The record is from RNAcentral.
AUUGAAAACGUACCAGAUUCGUGCUUUGCGUGGAGGCGGAGAUGAAGACUCUUAAGUUCGAAUAUGUGUGUUGCAUCGUUUUGAUGAAGAGUGAAGACGAAGCUUGGUUCGGCUCCAUGCGUUGUGUUGCAAUGAAGAGUGAAAGUGGAGAUGCGCAACGAAUCGUGGUAUUGUGAUGAUGAAGAGUUCGUGAUGAUGAAUGAAAAAGUGAAGGUACCAAACUCUUUUUGAAACUUUGUUUGCUCUUCUCCGCCUAUAAUUUUCGUUUUUAUGAUCGUGUUACUCGGUUGUUAUGAGGGUUGAAAAAGUUGUUAGUUGGUUCAGGAAAUUGGAGGUGGUUGGAGAGUUCUUGAAGUGUUUGUUAAGGGUUCUGAAGGUGAAAGUUAGAAGUUGGAGGUAUCAAGGUUCAGGUGAAUUUAGCUAUGUUGGAAUGAAGGGAAGGUUAGAGAGGAGGUUGGAUUUCUGUUAUCGUUUUGUGAAGUCAAGUUGGGGAUAUUUGUGCCAUUCGGUUCAGGAGGUUGGGAUUUUGGAAUUCAAUUUUGAGUUGUUGGAGGGAAGUUGAGAAUUGGUUAGGGAAGGUUUUUUUGGGUAGCAAGGUGAUUGUGUUAUCAAUUGGAGGUUGAAGGUGUUCUUGGGAGAAGUCUUGUUGAAGGUUCAGUUAGUUUUUGACCG